This 253-nucleotide ribosomal RNA is filed under the name uncultured bacterium. RNAcentral's name for it is "partial 16S ribosomal RNA". It matches the Rfam family "Bacterial small subunit ribosomal RNA", at positions 524 to 776 of the family's 1533-position model. The record is from RNAcentral.
UACGUAGGUGGCAAGCGUUGUCCGGAAUUAUUGGGCGUAAAGCGCGCGCAGGUGGUUUCUUAAGUCUGAUGUGAAAGCCCCGGGCUCAACCUGGGAAUGGCAUUGGAAACUGGCGGGCUGGAGUGUGGCAGAGGGGGGUGGAAUUCCGCGUGUAGCAGUGAAAUGCGUAGAGAUGCGGAGGAACACCGAUGGCGAAGGCAGCCCCCUGGGCUGACACUGACGCUCAGGCACGAAAGCGUGGGGAGCAAACAGG